GUUAAACCGGAGGAAGGUGGGGAUGACGUCAAGUCCUCAUGGCCCUUAUAGGUGGGGCUACACACGUCAUACAAUGGCUGGUACAAAGGGUUGCCAACCCGCGAGGGGGAGCUAAUCCCAUAAAGCCAGUCGUAGUCCGGAUCGUAGUCUGCAACUCGACUACGUGAAGUCGGAAUCGCUAGUAAUCGUGGAUCAGAAUGUCACGGUGAAUACGUUCCCGGGUCUU
This 226-nucleotide ribosomal RNA is filed under the name uncultured Rhodoferax sp. RNAcentral describes it as "partial 16S ribosomal RNA". It matches the Rfam family "Bacterial small subunit ribosomal RNA", at positions 1157 to 1382 of the family's 1533-position model. Lineage: Bacteria; Pseudomonadati; Pseudomonadota; Betaproteobacteria; Burkholderiales; Comamonadaceae. The record is from RNAcentral.